RNAcentral lists this ribosomal RNA (497 nucleotides) under uncultured bacterium. RNAcentral describes it as "partial 16S ribosomal RNA". It matches the Rfam family "Bacterial small subunit ribosomal RNA", at positions 28 to 507 of the family's 1533-position model. The record is from RNAcentral.
GAUGAACGCUGGCGGCGUGCCUAAUACAUGCAAGUCGAGCGAACAGAUGAGGAGCUUGCUCCUCUGACGUUAGCGGCGGACGGGUGAGUAACACGUGGAUAACCUACCUAUAAGACUGGGAUAACUUCGGGAAACCGGAGCUAAUACCGGAUAAUAUUUUGAACCGCAUGGUUCAAUAGUGAAAGACGGUUUUGCUGUCACUUAUAGAUGGAUCCGCGCUGCAUUAGCUAGUUGGUAAGGUAACGGCUUACCAAGGCAACGAUGCGUAGCCGACCUGAGAGGGUGAUCGGCCACACUGGAACUGAGACACGGUCCAGACUCCUACGGGAGGCAGCAGUAGGGAAUCUUCCGCAAUGGGCGAAAGCCUGACGGUGCAACGCCGCGUGAGUGAUGAAGGUCUUCGGAUCGUAAAACUCUGUUAUUAGGGAAGAACAAAUGUGUAAGUAACUAUGCACGUCUUGACGGUACCUAAUCAGAAAGCCACGGCUAACUACGUG